Molecule: ribosomal RNA, 177 nt
Filed under: Streptococcus dysgalactiae subsp. equisimilis
Lineage: Bacteria; Bacillati; Bacillota; Bacilli; Lactobacillales; Streptococcaceae
Description: partial 16S ribosomal RNA
Rfam family: Bacterial small subunit ribosomal RNA
Source: RNAcentral
AUCUUAAUGAGAGUUUGAUCCUGGCUCAGGACGAACGCUGGCGGCGUGCCUAAUACAUGCAAGUAGAACGCUGAGGACUGGUGCUUGCACCGGUCCAAGGAGUUGCGAACGGGUGAGUAACGCGUAGGUAACCUACCUCAUAGCGGGGGAUAACUAUUGAAAACGAUAGCUAAUACC